GCUAGCGUAGCUUAACUAAAGC
RNAcentral lists this transfer RNA (22 nucleotides) under Chromis punctipinnis (blacksmith). RNAcentral's name for it is "partial tRNA-Phe". Lineage: Eukaryota; Metazoa; Chordata; Actinopteri; Pomacentridae. The record is from RNAcentral.